Molecule: RNA transcript, 1393 nt
Organism: Fragaria vesca subsp. vesca
Lineage: Eukaryota; Viridiplantae; Streptophyta; Magnoliopsida; Rosales; Rosaceae
Gene name: tetraketide alpha-pyrone reductase 2-like
Exons: 10
Source: RefSeq, a predicted model, not a curated record
CCGACAACAGGCGGCACGCAUCGGGAGGAGUCGUCAGAGAGAUGAUGUUGGCUAUGCAUCCCUCCGGCAAAGCCUCCACCGUCACUGCGCCGUAGGUGAUUUCUCCUCCUCCUCCUCCUCCUCCUACUCCUAGUUCAUCUUCUUCAUCAACACGCAUUGUUUGCUUCCUGCUCUGUUUUUCUGCGUGCUGUCUUCUUCUUCUUCCUUUGGUGAGUUUCUGGGCGCAUGAAUUGUGUGGAAGUUUUGUCUCCGGUCUGGUCCAGUUCUUUCCUUAAGAGAUCGCCACGUUUUGAAACUUAAAAACGUGACUCGAACCAAUAAACACAAAUGCAGAAUUCAUAGCACAUGAUGACACUCCAUUAUCUGUGUUCCGGUUUCACACUUUCACCACUCCAUUUAUAUGUAACUCUUAACAAAGUAACCAACAGCCUCAUACUAUUCCAUAGCUGGUUAGCAAAGAAAGAUGCUUGAAUAUUGUGUGACUGGAGGUACCGGUUUCAUAGCUGCAUACUUGGUGAAGGCUUUGCUAGAAAAUGGCCAUGAGGUACGGGCAACUGUGCGAGACCCAGAGGAUUUGGGGAAGGUUUGUCAUCUGUGAGAGUUGAAUGGAGCCAAGGAAAGGCUUUGAUGAAGCUGAUCUAAUGAUGGAAAGAAUCUUUGAUGAAGCAAUACAAGGCGUUUAGGGGGGUUUUCACACUUUUAAUGAACUUCUUUCUUGGCAGGCGACUUUGAUUGAUCCAUGUAUAUAGGGAACCAUGAGUGUGUUGAGUUCCUGCUCGAAAGCACUCGUGAAAAGGGUUGUGCUCAAUAAGAUACCGUUACGAUGCUCAAGAGGCCUCUCCUCUCAAUGAGUCACAUUGGAGUGAUCCUGAAUGCUGCAAACACUUCAAUCUUUGGUAUGUCUAUGCAAAGACAACAACGGAGAAAGAGGCGUGGAGAAUGGCCGAGGAGAUGGAUCUAGUGGUUGUGAAUCCGUCUUCCGGGGUUGGUCCUCUGCUAGCACCACAACCUACAAACACACUGCUGAUGAUACUGGCAAUACUUAAAAGGUUAGGUUUAAGAGGUGAGUACCCAAAUACAACAGUAGGAUUUGUGCACAUAGAUGAUGUGGUAGCUGCACACAUUUUGGCAAUGGAGGAAAGCAAAGCAUCAGGCAGGCUUAUAUGUUCAAGCUCGGUAGCGCGCUGAUCGCAGAUCAUUGAGAUGCUCAAGGCCAAAUCCAUCCUAUCCAUAUGAAAGCAAGUGUGGCACCAAUGAAGGAGACAAUAGCCCUCAUAGCAUGGACACCACUAAAAUAGCUCAACUGGGUUUUCCUCCUUUCAAAACGCGUGAAAAAAUGUUUGAUGACUGCAUCACAAGCUAACAAAGUUUUCAAGAGAAAGGGUUUUUGUGA